This 468-nucleotide ribosomal RNA is filed under the name uncultured bacterium. RNAcentral's name for it is "partial 16S ribosomal RNA". It matches the Rfam family "Bacterial small subunit ribosomal RNA", at positions 28 to 507 of the family's 1533-position model. The record is from RNAcentral.
GACGAACGCUGGCGGCGUGCUUAACACAUGCAAGUCGAACGGAAAGGCCCUGCUUUUGUGGGGUGCUCGAGUGGCGAACGGGUGAGUAACACGUGAGUAACCUGCCCUUGACUUUGGGAUAACUUCAGGAAACUGGGGCUAAUACCGGAUAGGAGCUCCUGCUGCAUGGUGGGGGUUGGAAAGUUUCGGCGGUUGGGGAUGGACUCGCGGCUUAUCAGCUUGUUGGUGGGGUAGUGGCUUACCAAGGCUUUGACGGGUAGCCGGCCUGAGAGGGUGACCGGCCACAGUGGGACUGAGAUACGGCCCAGAGUGAGACGGGAGGCAGCAGUGGGGAAUAUUGCACAAUGGGCGGAAGCCUGAUGCAGCAACGCCGCGUGCGGGAUGACGGCCUUCGGGUUGUAAACCGCUUUCGCCUGUGACGAAGCGUGAGUGAAGGUAAUGGGUAAAGAAGCACCGGCUAACUACGUG